This is a long non-coding RNA of Neofelis nebulosa (Clouded leopard), 2028 nucleotides long. RefSeq lists it as uncharacterized. The record is from RefSeq and is a predicted model, not a curated record. NCBI's taxonomy places the organism in Eukaryota, Metazoa, Chordata, Mammalia, Carnivora, Felidae. The transcript is spliced from 2 exons.
CCAAAUGUAGGAUUCUUGGUUGACAGCUUUUUUCCUUCGAUGCUUUCAACACAUCAACCCAUGCCUUCUAGCCUCCAAGGUUUCUGAUGAGAAAUCUCCUCACAACCUUAUCAGUGAAAAUAUGAUGAAAAGCAAUCUUCCUCUGAGCUUUAUAGAUGUUAAUAAUGAGCCUUAUCGUGUUUUACACAACACAACAUUUCCUUAUACGUUGUAGCACCAUUUUGAGACCAGGAACUGAGUCUUUUAAGUGUAGACAUUACGAGGUCUAUACGAGCCAAAAUUACAGUUUUCUAAACUUGAAGUGAAAAGGCCACUGAACCAUCUUACAGAUUUUGAUUUCUAACAAAGUAACUAUCAAUCUUGAAAAGCCCACACAAACAAACAAAAAGCCCAUUGGGGGUCUUUUUUUUUUAUUGAGUAAAGGAGUUUUGGGAGUAAAAAGUGAGGAAACCACUGUGGUCUCAGACAUCCCCAGCCAUGAUUGCAUAAUUGGCCCAUUUCUUGCUGUGCCCUCACAAAGCCCCAUGGUGAAGUCAUGGCAAGACCUGUCUAUAUAAGACCCUGGCUCGGCUGGGUGUUUGGUCUUUACAGCCCAGGAAGCCUUGGUGACCUGUCGGCCUUUGACCCUAGCUAGUUUGAUUUUGAUUCUCUUUUUUUCAUUUUGUUUGUUUUUUUAUUUUCAUUUUUCUUUCUUCUCUACUCCUUUUCUCUCCCAAUUUUUUUUGCCUUUUUCUGUUUUUACUUUUUUCUUUUUUUCUUUUUUAGUUUUUCUUUUUCUCAAUUUUUUUUCGUUUCCUCCCUUCAUUUUCUUUGUGUGUGUGUGUGUGUGUGUGUGUGUGUGUGUGUGUGUGUGAGUGUGUGUGCACGUGUGUGUUUCUCAUUUGGUUUUUUUUUGUGUGUUAGCGUUUUAGUACAGUCAGUAUAGUUCAUAUUGUUAGUAUAGUUCAUAUUGUUAGUAUAGUUCAUAAGCAUAGUAUUGUUAGUAUUGGCAAAUUUUGUAGGUUGGUAUUGUUGGUUAGCAUAGUCUGUGUAAUUAGCAUUAUUUAGCGUUAGUAUAGUUAGUAGGUCACCAUGCUUCAGGGGCGUAAGGCCAUUACUGCUGGUGAGGAGGACUUCUGUAUUUACAAGAUCUGCGAGACCACCAGUGAGGGCGGUGUCCCCAUAAUGAAUCUGGCCUCGAACAUCCUAACCAGUCAGCAGUCUGAUGUGAAGUUCAUCAGGAAAACCCAGAAGGACCCCACUGGCCUCCAGGGACUUUGUCUUGAAGCCCAGAAUAUGAAGACCUCAAGUCACCCAAAUAUUGUCAAGUCACUCGAGGUGAUCAACACCAAGGAAAUGUUAGUCCUCUCUUCAGAAUACGCAGAGACAACUAGUGUGAUGAUUUUACGCACCGUGGCCAAGUGAUGGAGGAGGUUCCAGACAAAUUCUGCCAGCUGUUAUCGGUUGUGGAGUACUACCACCAACAAGGUAUGAUCAGCGGGUAUCUGAAGCUAGAGACACUGCUUUUUGACAAGGAGCUGAAGCAAAGGGAGGACACCCCUUCCGCAAACGCUUGCAGCCUGGGGGUGCUUUGGUACUGCUUGGCCACCGGGUUGGAGCCGUUUGAGGGGGAAGUCUUCUGGGACGCGGAACGAAAUAUCGAAAACCGGGAACACAGUGCUUUGAUUUUCAUGUCCCUGGAGAGUGAGAACAUGUGGUACACGUUGACAACUAUCCAGCCCACGAUCAGGACACCAAGAAGAAUCUGCUGCUGGGGCCCCAUCCCAACCUGUUCCAGCACAGGCCUGUCCUCAGAGCGGAGUAGUCUGACCUCUGAAGGGACUACCAUAGUGACCACGAUUAGCGGGCCCAGAUUCAACUCGCCAGCCACAAACUCUGACACCAGCAGUGAAUACAGGCAGCCAGGGAGGAUGCCCCUAGAGCCAAAAAAUCAGGUUCUCAAACAUCUCAAUAAAUUAAAAAAUGUAUUUAAAAAAAAUAAUAAAAUACAACCCCCAAAAAAUGCAAAUAAAUGAGAGCCAGAAGAGA